This 774-nucleotide ribosomal RNA is filed under the name uncultured Neocallimastigales. RNAcentral describes it as "partial large subunit ribosomal RNA". It matches the Rfam family "Eukaryotic large subunit ribosomal RNA", at positions 22 to 639 of the family's 3401-position model. The record is from RNAcentral. Lineage: Eukaryota; Fungi; Neocallimastigomycota; Neocallimastigomycetes; Neocallimastigales.
GUACACGCUGUGACUAGCAUAUCAAUAAGCGGAGGAAAAGAAACUAACAAGGAUUCCCCUAGUAACGGCGAGUGAAGCGGGAAGAGCUCAAAUUUGAAAUCUUAAAGGGUUUCCCUUUACGAAUUGUAGUUUAAAGAAGUGUUUUCUGUUGAGGUUUUGGUAAAAGUUCUUUGGAAUAGGACAUCAUAGAGGGUGAGAAUCCCGUAUUUGACCUUUACUUUCAACUUUGUGAUACACUUUCAAAGAGUCGGAUUGUUUGGGAAUGCAGUCCAAAAUGGGUGGUAAAUUUCAUCUAAAGCUAAAUAUUGGCGAGAGACCGAUAGCGAACAAGUACCGUGAGGGAAAGAUGAAAAGAACUUUGAAAAGAGAGUUAAGCAGUACGUGAAAUUGUCAAAAGGGAAGCGUUUGACACCAGUGUUGUUUUUCUGAAAAUCAAUUAAAGAACUGUUUAUGCUAAGUUGUUUAGACUUUAUCAGCUAACUGUUUAGUUUUGAGCAUUUCUUUAAUGCACUUUUCAGUUAACAAGUCAACAUCAAUUUCUUUUGCUGUAAAAAAGCUUGAGGAAGGUGGCUUGAGAUUCGUCUUAAGUGUUUAUAGCCUCUUGCCUAUGCAGUCGGAGAGAUUGAGGUCUGCAGCGUAGAUCCUUCGGGGCUAAAUGCAUUUGUGCUAAGUUAUAGCAUUUUAUAGACAACUUGUUGACUAUGAUUUGUCUUGUAGCUUACUCGCUUAUGUUAUUUUACCUACGCUUAGGAUGUUGACGCGCGUGUGUGCGUG